RNAcentral lists this ribosomal RNA (472 nucleotides) under uncultured bacterium. Its description in RNAcentral is "bacterial SSU rRNA". It matches the Rfam family "Bacterial small subunit ribosomal RNA", at positions 8 to 525 of the family's 1533-position model. The record is from RNAcentral.
AGGGUUUGAUUAUGGCUCAGAACGUACGCUGGCGGCACGCCUAAUACAUGCAAGUCGAACGAAGUAGCAAUACUUAGUGGCAAACGGGUGAGUAUAAUGUGGGAAUCUGCCCAUUGGUUUGGAAUAACACGAGGAAACUUGUGCUAAUACCAGAUAAGCCUUCACAGGGAAAGCUUUAUGCGCCGAUGGACGAGCCCGCACUUGAUUAGCUAGUUGGUAAGGUAAAAGCUUACCAAGGCUACGAUCAAUAGCUGAUCUGAGAGGAUGAUCAGCCACAUUGGGACUGAGACACGGCCCAAACUCCUACGGGAGGCAGCAGUAGGGAAUCUUGCACAAUGGGGGAAACCCUGAUGCAGCGAUGCCGCGUGAGUGAAGAAGGCCUUUGGGUUGUAAAGCUCUUUCGUUGGGGAAGAAAAUGACUGUACCCGAAUAAGAAGGUCCGGCUAACUUCGUGCCAGCAGCCGCGGUAAUA